CGUGCGCAGAGGCCUUGCUCGGGGGCCGCGCUCCCGGCCGUAGGGGAGGCUCCGGGGCCGAGGCCGCGCGUGUCGGUGGAACUUGGGGCGCUACUGUUUUAUUCCCGUGACAAACUUAAGAACCAAGACCGAGUCGGCGGGACUUCUACGCGGCGAGCGUCACCUGCGGUCGGCCUCGAAAGCACAGUCGUCUUCGGAUCGAUUGCAUGUCACUGAGAGCUUGGGUGGGUCUGUCCCACCGUGUAGAGUCAGCCCCGCCAGCCCUGGCUCCCCCAGGUCUCUCCUUGAAGUGUCCUUGAAGACACAGAAAGAGACAUAGGCAGAGGGAGAAGCAGAGUUCCUGCAGGGAGACAGAUGAGGGCCUCGAUUCCAGGACCCCAGGAUCAUGACCUGAG
Canis lupus familiaris (dog) is the source of this 395-nucleotide long non-coding RNA. RefSeq lists it as uncharacterized. The record is from RefSeq and is a predicted model, not a curated record. The transcript is spliced from 3 exons. Lineage: Eukaryota; Metazoa; Chordata; Mammalia; Carnivora; Canidae.